Molecule: long non-coding RNA, 3347 nt
Organism: Coffea eugenioides
Lineage: Eukaryota; Viridiplantae; Streptophyta; Magnoliopsida; Gentianales; Rubiaceae
Exons: 5
Source: RefSeq, a predicted model, not a curated record
AAUCUGAAAGUGAUAAACUAUUCGGCUCUUCGACACCUCACCUCUCUUCAAGGCCUGUACAUCAAUAGUUGCCCUCGACUCCAGUCCCUACCGGAAGAGGGACUGUCCGCCUCCCUCACCGAACUAUAUAUCUGGCGCUGCCCACUGCUGAAGCCAAGGUUAGAAUGGGAGAAAGGACAAGACUGGCCCAAGGUUGCCCACAUCCCCUGCCUGGUAGUCGAUGGUGACCUAGUUCCUUGAUGAUGACGCCGGUUACUCCUGAGGGCUCCCAGAGUUACAAGAUCCUCAUCAUCAUCUAUUCAUAUAAUUAAAGUGCGAAUUGCCUGUUGUGAAUAACUAGGAUGUGCUGAAAGGACAGUUGAGAUUCCAAUCAAGUAAGGCCGCCAACUCAAGCAGACAAAUGCUUUCCUCGUUAAAGAAAACCUUCAAUGUUCUAUAAGUCCAGGUGAUACACCUUUCUUAGUAUUCUAAGGACCAUCAUUGCUCUCAUCUUCAGCCAUUGAAGAAUUGGGGCUGGUGACCUCCCUUUUUAUGCUAGAAAUCAAGAACUACUAAUUCCUGACAAUACGUUUGGAGUAGAGAAAAGAAGAAGAUUGGCACAAGGUUGUCUUAUUACUGGAUGAAAAGUGAUGCUUCAAUAUCUUGACUCUUGGAGAACUUGGUUAGUUGAUCUUGGGUCCUAUAGAUGUCAACAGUUGUUUCAUAUCCAGAGUUGGCUGGCUUCUUUUGAGCUUAAGCUGAGAGGAUACCUGGUAAGAGCCAUAUUAUCACCGUCAUAUGUUUUCAGUCAUUGAUACCUUACUACUUAGCAGCAUGUUUUAUGUCAUUUGAAUUUCCUAUGUAUUCCAUAUCAUAUGAAGUUCAGUAAAAUCUUCAAGUCGCAUUAGUUAUGUUCAGUUAUCUGCUUCUUUGUAGCUCUUUUCACCGAGCUUUCUUCAAAAUAUUCAUUUAAUUUUAUAUAUCAUAAGACAUGUUAAACAAGACCAAAAAGUUGAAACGGGAAGAAAUUGUGGAAAUGAAUGGAGGAAAUGAUAAAUUGAAGGGAUAUGGCACAGCCUGAUACCUCCUUUGUCUCAAACACAAAUUGUCAUGGGUUUCAGUAAUGUCAUCCUUUGCUUAUUCGUCUUGGAAGGCAUAUUUCCUUUUUUGAGUACUUUGUUUAUACAAGAUGUAUUGGGGGUGCCAAAAAUAAUCCUUUUCUUUAUGGUUUUAUCUCUGUCAUAAAGAUUGUUCUUAGAUUAAAAUGUUGCAUACCACUAAGGUUAUCAAUUCCUGUAUAUCCUUCACUCUUUUUGUGAAUGAAUAUGCUAUGCAGAAUAUCUAUCCGGACAUUUUUCCAAGUUAAUAUUUCCAUUACCUUGUACUCCUAUUUUAAACUAUUGCAGUGCUUCCUUUUGCAUCUUCCACUUCUAGUAAGAUGUUGGUUUCCUUCAAAUAUUUUUGGCUUCCUCAGUUUUUCAUUAUCCCUCGCAUUAAGGUAAUGUUUCUUGCUAUAGACUUGACAUGGCCCUUUCUGAAUAUAGUCCAGACUUGUGUGCUUUUUGUUGGUUGCAAUGGUAUUUUACCCCUUUUGACUUGGUAGCAUUAGGCAUGUAAAAGGCACCAUUGCUAGAUAUUUAUUUGUGUCUAAUCGUAAAUAGAUGAAGAGUUCAUAAAAUUAAUACGGAGAGAGAGUAGAAAGGGGUGCAAAAACAAAAUGAGCCCAAAAUCAGUGAUGGAUAUUUGUGUUGAUGACAGUUAUGACUAUAUUUCAUUCUUAUCUACACCUUGCAUUCGUGUGAUUGCUGUGUAAAUUUUCAACUUUCCAAGAUCCUUCUACACAAAGAGGGUAUAAACAUCAUAUGAGUAACUUUUUUGAAACUAACCAUCAACAAUUCUUAUACUAAUAAUUGAUUGAGAGUUCCAAAACAUAGAACUUCAGGUCACUUGUUUUAAUAAUAAACAGAAAGGAAGCAUACAUACUGAAGAAUCAAAUUUUCUGAAAAGGAAAAGACAACUAAUUUGAAGUGGUUUCUGCUAUCUCUUCCCCUUGUAUGCUUUUCCAUAUGGAGUACCAUUGACAGCAUUCUAUCUCUGGUAUAAAUUGUUUAGUUCUGUAUUUGCUGCACAAUCCAUCUGUAAUACUCUGCUCCACUGCUACUAAUAUUUUCAUAUUUACCCUAUGCACCGAGAUAUUCUAGGUAUGUUGCACUUUGUGUUCAUUGUAAAUAUUUUCAUAUAUUCUUGUAGACCUUUGAUAAAUUGGAAUGCAUUCCUGUAAUUCAAGCACUAUUCUUGAAACAACUGGUACUUAAAAGAGGUCAUUCCAUGAACAGAAAGUGCGGAAUCACCUGCAGUUGCCUUUCCUGCUCCUCCUCUUUCCACUUACCCCAUAGGAAAUGGAAAAAAAUUUGAAAGGUAAAUCAUUGCUGUGUUUGAUAAUUCUUUGCAGAAUUGGGGCUAUGAUUAUUUAGCGCCUCUUUUCAGAAGUACGUAUUGCAAGGAGUUCAAUUUGCUGCUUGGAAAGAUGCAAUCCUUCCUCGCGCAUUAAUGUUCAAAAAUGUGGGAGCAUCCUGUGGCUGAGAGCAUUUUAGCUCGAUGUUGCCUCUAGACUGCAACCAUACCCUUUUGAUGGUGGAUAUCCAGAGUUUCCCCUCUCGCUGAGAAUCCAAGAUUAGUGGCACCGAUGAAGAAGAGUCGCUUCCAUGAUACUGGCUGCUGUCUUGCACGUUGCACCCUUACAAUCUCUCACUUGGAGCAGCAUAAGAGCUGAAGAACAAUGACCUACAAGCGUCUUCAACACUUAACCAUUUUGAAGAUAUGGAAAUAGCUGUUCCAUUUUGAAGAUAUGGAAAUAGCUGACUGCUUUCAGCUCUAGUGGCUGCAAAAAGAGUGGUUGGCAACUUCCCGGCUUCCCUUAUGCAUGAAAAAUGUGGUAUUCAUUGCUCAAAUUACUAUACAAGGGCAGAAUGGGAGGGGAAAGAUUGGCCUCAGGGUUUCUGAUGUAAACUGCAUAGCUUUCAAUAGUGAACUAAAUAGAAUAUUGCUUAGAACUUGAUUGAGCUUGACCUCAGGGGCCUCUAUCAGAUUCAUUUUCUUCGAAUGCUCCAAUGCCUCAAAUCACAGGAGAAUCAUUUCCUGUGCAUACCAUCCCACCUUUCUGCUGAAAAUCUCCUCAACUUUUUCUUUAGUUCUUGUUUCUCUUUCGGGAUUUUUCUCUGUUCAUGGCCAACCUUGCAGAACAUCUAAUUGUCUACUCCAACGAUGUUAUUGAAAAAGUGCAAGCCACAUCUUAGUUCUUGCCUUGCAUUUGCAAAUUCAGGAGUUUUUCAACUUUUGAGAUUAAUUUCUUCUUCCUUUUUGGUGCA